UAGAGUAGUGUAAAUUAUACAUUCAAAAUUUUCAAUUUUGAGAUUAACUUAUUAGUUA
Molecule: transfer RNA, 58 nt
Filed under: Nothopoda sp.
Lineage: Eukaryota; Metazoa; Arthropoda; Arachnida; Trombidiformes; Eriophyidae
Description: tRNA-Glu
Source: RNAcentral